UUUUUUUUUUUUUUUUUUUUUUGAGACAGAGUCUCACUCUUGUCGCCCAGGCCAGAAUGCAGUGGCUCAAUCUCAGCUCACUGCAACCUCCCAGGUUCAAGCAAUUCUUCUGCCUCAGCCUCCCAAGUAGCUGGGAUUACAGGCACAUGCCACCAUGCCUGGCUAAUUUUUGUAUUUUUAGUAGAGACGGGGUUUCACCAUGUUGGCCAGGCUGGUCUCGAACUCCUGACCUCGUGAUCCGCCCACCUCAACCUCCCAAAGUGCUGGGAUUACAGGCGUGAGCCACCGAGCGUGGCCCUUGUUCUAUUGUCUUGCCGAUCUUUCUCCCUGUAUUAAUUUCCUUAGCAAACAGUUUCUGGGUCACCCUUUUGGUUCCCUGUCCUGAACAUGCCUUUUCUCCCUUUAUGUGGCCAGGCUGAGAAUUUUCCAAGACUUUCUGCUUUGCUUCCCUUUUGAUUAUAAAUUUCAUCUUUAAGUCGUUUUCCCUCUUGCAGCUUAAUGUAAGUAGCUGUGCAGCAGCAGGAACACUUUGCAGCUUAGAUAGUUCUUUUGCCAGAUAUCCUAAUGUAUUGCUCUUAAAUUCUGCAUUCCAUAGAGCCCCUGGCACAGACACAAUCCAGCCAAGUUCUUGGCCUGUUUAUAACAAGGAUGGGCUUUACUCCAGUUUCCAAUAUCUUGUUCCUCAGUUCCAUCUGAGACUUCAUCAGAGUGGCCUUUAUUCUCCAUAUUUCUAUCUGCAUUCUGGUCACGACCACUUCAGUAUAACUCUCAGAAGUUCCAGACUUCCCCUAGUCUUCUUGUCUUUGGAGACCUCACCAAAAUUGCCCUUAAUGCUCUUUUUACAGCAAUACAGGCUUUUUCUAGCCUGCUUCUCCAAAUUCUUCCAGCCCAUUGGGUAAUGCUGCUCAGUACCCCAUUUCAAAGCUGCUUCCCUGUUUUUGGGUAUUUGUUACUAGUAACACUUCUCAGUACCAAUUUUCUGUCUAGUGUAUUCUCUGUUGUUAUAACAGAAUAUCGCAGACUGGUAAUUUAUAAGCAAUAGAAGUUUAUUUAGUGCAUGGUUCUGGAGGCUCAGGAGUCCCAGAGCAUGGUGCCAGCAUCUGGUGAGGGCCUUCCUACAGUGUCAGGAAACGGCACAGUGUGUCACAUGGCGAGAGGGCAAGAGUGUGCCAGCUCGUCUGUCUUCCUCUUCUUAUAAAGCCACCAGUCCCAUCACGGGGCUCCACCCUGAGGCUCUCAUCUAAUCCUAAUUACCUCCCAAAGGCCCCACCUCCAAUCAACAUAUGAAUUUGUGGAUUUUUUAAAAAUCAUUUUUUAGGGGGGCUAGAGAUGGGGUCUCACUAUGUUGCCCAGGCUGGUCUUGAACCCCUUACCUCAAGCCAUCCUCCCACCUCAGCCUCUCAAAGUGUUGGAAUUACAGACACGAGCCACCACACCCAGCUGGGAUUAAGUUUUUUUUUUUUUUUUUUUUUUGGUGACGCAGCCUCGCUCUGUCACCCAGACUAGAGUGCAGUGGCGCGAUCUCAGCUCUCUGCAAGCUCCGCCUCCCAGGUUCACGCCAUUCUCCUGCCUCAGUCUCCCAAGUAGCUGGGACAACAGGUGCCCGCCACCACGCCCGGCUAUUUUUUUGUGUUUUUAGUAGAGAUGGGGUUUCACCAUGUUAGCCAGGAUGG
This 1673-nucleotide long non-coding RNA is filed under the name Macaca fascicularis (crab-eating macaque). RNAcentral describes it as "lncRNA (ENSMFAG00000063134.1)". The record is from RNAcentral. Lineage: Eukaryota; Metazoa; Chordata; Mammalia; Primates; Cercopithecidae.